Schistosoma rodhaini is the source of this 48-nucleotide non-coding RNA. The record is from Rfam. Lineage: Eukaryota; Metazoa; Platyhelminthes; Trematoda; Strigeidida; Schistosomatidae.
GUCCAGAUGACGAGUCUCAAAUAGGACGAAACGCGCGACAAACUGUAU